Molecule: ribosomal RNA, 460 nt
Filed under: uncultured bacterium
Lineage: Bacteria
Description: partial 16S ribosomal RNA
Rfam family: Bacterial small subunit ribosomal RNA
Source: RNAcentral
CCUACGGGAGGCAGCAGUGAGGAAUAUUGGUCAAUGGGCGCGAGCCUGAACCAGCCACGUAGCGUGAAGGAUGACUGCCCUACGGGUUGUAAACUUCUUUUAUAAAGGAAUAAAGUGCGGCACGUGUGCCUUUUUGCAUGUACUUUUUGAAUAAGGAUCGGCUAACUCCGUGCCAGCAGCCGCGGUAAUACGGAGGAUCCGAGCGUUAUCCGGAUUUAUUGGGUUUAAAGGGUGCGUAGAUGGGUUGUUAAGUCAGUUGUGAAAGUUUGCGGCUCAACCGUGAAAUUGCAUUUGAUACUGGCAGUCUUGAGUACAGUAGAGGUAGGCGGAAUUCGUGGUGUAGCGGUGAAAUGCUUAGAUAUUACGAAGAACUCCGAUUGCGAAGGCAGCUUACUAAACUGCAACUGACAUUGAUGCUCGAAAGUGUGGGUAUCAAACAGGAUUAGAUACCCUAGUAGUC